GGUCCUGUGGUCUAGUGGUAGUACGUCUUCCCAUUAACUGACGAAAUAUACAAAUAACUAACAAGCUUUCCAGUGAUUCUCGCUUAGGGAACUAAGCAUUCUUGCGAGAGGCCCCGCGUUCGAGUCGCGGCAGGACCC
RNAcentral lists this transfer RNA (138 nucleotides) under Didymella heteroderae. Its description in RNAcentral is "tRNA-Asn". The record is from RNAcentral. Lineage: Eukaryota; Fungi; Ascomycota; Dothideomycetes; Pleosporales; Didymellaceae.